This 266-nucleotide ribosomal RNA is filed under the name Segatella copri. RNAcentral describes it as "partial 23S ribosomal RNA". It matches the Rfam family "Bacterial large subunit ribosomal RNA", at positions 1 to 274 of the family's 2925-position model. The record is from RNAcentral. Lineage: Bacteria; Pseudomonadati; Bacteroidota; Bacteroidia; Bacteroidales; Prevotellaceae.
AAGAAAGUAAGAAAGGGCGUAUGGCGGAUGCCUAGGCUCACGGAGGCGAUGAAGGACGUGAUAAGCUGCGAUAAGCUUCGGGUAGGUGCAAAUAACCCUUGAUCCGAAGAUUUCCGAAUGGGACAACCUAGCCGUCUGAAGGACGGUUGCUCUUACCAGUGUAAGAGAGCUAACGCAGGGAACUGAAACAUCUUAGUACCUGCAGGAAGAGAAAAUAAAUGAAUGAUUCCCCCAGUAGUGGCGAGCGAACGGGGAACAGCCCAAAC